GACGGGACCGCACAAGCGGUGGAUGAUGUGGAUUAAUUCGAUGCCAACGACGAAAACCUUACCUACCUUGACAUGUCCGGAAUCCGAAGAGAUUUGGGAGUGCUCGCAAGAGAACCGGAACACAGGUGCUGCAUGGCUGUCGUCAGCUCGUGUCGUGAGAUGUUGGGUUAAGUCCCGCAACGAGCGCAACCCUUAUCAUUAGUUGCUACGCAAGGGCACUCUAAUGAGACUGCCGGUGACAACCGGAGGAAGGUGGGGGAUGACGUCAAGUCCUCAUGGCCCUUAUGGGUAGGGCUUCACACGUCAUACAAUGGUCGGUACAGAGGGUUGCCAAGCCGCGAGGCGGAGCCAAUCCCACAAAGCCGAUCGUAGUCCGGAUUGUUCUCUGCAACUCGAGAGCAUGAAGUCGGAAUCGCUAGUAAUCGCAGGUCAGCAUACUGCGGUGAAUACGUUCCCGGGUCUU
This 463-nucleotide ribosomal RNA is filed under the name uncultured Thiobacillus sp. Its description in RNAcentral is "bacterial SSU rRNA". It matches the Rfam family "Bacterial small subunit ribosomal RNA", at positions 917 to 1381 of the family's 1533-position model. The record is from RNAcentral. Lineage: Bacteria; Pseudomonadati; Pseudomonadota; Betaproteobacteria; Nitrosomonadales; Thiobacillaceae.